CCAGCACCUGUCCAGUGAAACAACUUGAUAAUCGUUUCGAGGGGCGUCCGCCGGGUUAGGAAGCCACUGCCUGGCAGCUUGUGGAAGCCUCAUUUGCAAAGCCACCCCUCAGAUGUUUUGAAGAUCGUGACGUCUUGUAACUAGCAGUGUGUGCACAGAAUCCUACUCAAGGAACGUCUUGGCCCAGCGAUGCAAAGAACUGAAGUUUCAAGCUGGAAGAGCCUGUAUUGUCCUCACAAUAGUAUAGAAGAAUUCAAGAGAGGAGAGAGAGACAGCACCGAAUGAAGACUGUAAAAGAAAAGAAGGAAUGCCAGAGAUUGAGAAAAUCUGCCAAGACUAGGAGGGUAACCCAGAGGAAACCGUCUUCAGGGCCUGUUUGCUGGCUAUGCCUUCGAGAACCUGGGGAUCCCGAAAAAUUAGGGGAAUUUCUUCAGAAAGACAAUAUCAGCGUGCAUUAUUUCUGUCUUCUUUUUUGUUUUAAAAUCUAUUUUUAGGCUGGGUGCAGUGGCUCACGCCUGUAAUCCCAGCACUCUGGGAGGCCGAGGCAGGAGGAUCUCUUGAACCCAGGAGUUCAAGACCAGCCUGGGCAACCUUGUCUCUACA
RNAcentral lists this long non-coding RNA (603 nucleotides) under Homo sapiens (human). RNAcentral describes it as "HSALNT0054675". Lineage: Eukaryota; Metazoa; Chordata; Mammalia; Primates; Hominidae. The record is from RNAcentral.